Molecule: unclassified non-coding RNA, 424 nt
Filed under: Hevea brasiliensis (rubber tree)
Lineage: Eukaryota; Viridiplantae; Streptophyta; Magnoliopsida; Malpighiales; Euphorbiaceae
Source: RNAcentral
UCACUUCCUUGUCCUCAAAACAAUUGGUAAUCACAAGUUCCAACCCCACAGGAUCCGCUGGUGCAAUCACAUGGGAUUUUAUGCUCCAAGGAUUUCCUGUCACACCAUCCUUGCGCAUUGGAGUAUAAACAAGUUCAAUGCAUUUUCCAACAUCCUCUAAAGUCAAAUCCAGAAACUCAUUAGCGCUUAGUUUGUCCCUAACGCCAUCACUUCUCACUCUAAACCAUUCAUGGAAACAAUUUCCUCUCUCCCCUCCACUGUAAGAAGCAACAAAGCUUAGACGUUGUCCUUCCAUCAUUGACCCUAGAAACUCUAAGGACUGACAAGUUGGAGGGCCAGGUAUGAUAGGUCCAAUUUGUUCAGAAACAACAAUAGGACCACGAGCCCAAUCACUUCUGACAGGCUCACAUGAGACCGAAAUAAG